UUAAAUUAAAUUAAAUUAAAUGCUACAAGGCCAUAUUAUGAAAGUAACAAUAGUUUACAUUUCCUUUAAACUUAGUAUUUGUCGUACUAUGACCAAAUAGUUCUAUAAGUUGGCCUUUAUUACAUAAGAGGAAUGUCUGGUGAAUUCAGUGGAAACCCAUUUUGAGAUAAUCAGGAAAUAAGAUGUGUGAAGGGACCUUAAUGAGCCAGAAGGUAUUAAUCUGUGGAACAGAAGAUGAGAAAAAAUUUACUACUAGUCCACAAGUAUAAUUUUCCUGUAGCUUUACUAAGGAAAGUACUCAAGAAAAUUAGUUCAGAUUUAAUCACAAAAUAACUUAGGUCACAAGAAAGAAAUUUCUGAAUAUUAAAAAAGCCAUAUAAUCUUUAAGUCUAUGUAGACUUUAGAGCCAUAAUAGAUUCCCAACAUUUAGGAUUCAUGUAAGUAUAUUAUUGGCAUGAAAAUAGAAUUAUGGUAACUUUCAUGAUUUCUGACAUUGAUUGAGCAUUUAAUAUGUGCCAGGCUCAGUGGUAAAUGGUUUAGUGGAUUCUCAAUUUUAAUCUGUAUGACAGCACUGUGAGAUUGUGCCGUUAUUAUCCAUAUGCAUUUCAUAGAGAAGAAAUUAAGCUUAGAGAGUGGAGGCAACUUGCUUAGGUCUUAUAGUAAAUGAUGGACGUAGCCUUCAAACUGAGGUAAUUUGAUUCCAAAAGUGAAGUUCUCAUUCUCUAAAAUAUAUCCUCUUUAUGAUUCUGUUCUGUUUCCCCAUUUGUCCCCUAAAUCUCCUCAGGAGUUACUGUGGCAGUUGGACAUACUUGUAACAUUUGACUGUGACACCAAAUGUCCUAAUCUGAGUGGUUAGUUAACUCUUCAAAAAGCCUACAAAGCUAUCAUUGCCAUGGAGGUUCAUUUCCAGCACGGUCUCUUGUUUAAAUUUAUAUACCAUCUACUUUAUGCUGAUUUCAGAUUAGAAUAGUGGGAUGGGGGUUUUUGUUGGUCGUAUGCUGCACAGUUACAGAAAAAGCAAAACCACCCUGAUAUUACUGACUUAAAGAAGAACUGAAAGAUUAUGGCCUUUUACUUAUAUUGAACUUUGUUCAUUAUGAACAGGUUCAUUAUCUCUUCAUUGUGACUCAGUGUUUCUCAAUUUAUGCUUAUUUUUGACAUAAAUCCAAAACAAGUAUUUAUGAUUUAGUACUUCUUUAGGAAUGCAGGCUGAUUUGUAAUGAAGAAAUUUUAAUGAGGAAAUAACAUUGACUUUUUCUUCUUAGCUAAUGUUUAAAAUUAUUUGUCAUCUCAGGCUUAAGAGUACAAAGUUUCUCCCAUCCAAGUACUAACCAGGACCAACUCUGUUGCAUUUCUGAGAUCAGAUGAGAUCACAUGUACUCAGGGUGGUAUGGCCGUAGAUAUUAGUACAAAAUAUCUUAACAUGUUCUGUAGUUUCCUUCAAAUUGGAUAAAUUUAGUCCUGAAUUUCUUCAAUGACAUGAUUUGAAAAGUCUUUCAGAUACAACAACAAACAAAAAGUGGUUUUAUAUAUAGCAGUACUUUUCAAUAAUAAUUUCAUGGUUUUAAAAUUAUACUUAAGGCAAAUUUUCAACAAUUAUUUGUAUAAAGACUCAUUGAUUCUUCACUCUUGAAAUUACUAAAAACAAAAUUCACAAUACUGAUGCAGGAUUUUUUGCUCCUUAGCUCAGCUAGGUCUGGGUUCUUGUCUCAUGACCAGGAAAAAGUAGGCACAUGGAUACUCAAAGAAUGAGUGGAGUAGAAUUUUUUAAGUGAAAGGAAAGCUCUCAGCAAAGAGAGAGGGGCUCUGAAAGCGGGUUCCCAGUUUCCCCCCUUCUCAGUUGAAUACAAAGGCUUCUAUAUAUCUAAGCUGAUGGGGCUGGGUUCCUGGUUGCCCUCCUUUUCAGUUGAAUACAAGGGCUUCUAUAUAUCUAAGCUGAUGGGGCUGGGUUCCCUGUUUGCAUAAGGCACUAAUUCCCGGUGGCUCCACCUAAUCCCCCUAGUGCACAUGUGGCCCCUUAGGCCACUGCGGGCAUGUUUGGGC
RNAcentral lists this long non-coding RNA (2043 nucleotides) under Homo sapiens (human). RNAcentral's name for it is "HSALNT0042339". Lineage: Eukaryota; Metazoa; Chordata; Mammalia; Primates; Hominidae. The record is from RNAcentral.